Molecule: ribosomal RNA, 449 nt
Filed under: uncultured cyanobacterium
Lineage: Bacteria; Bacillati; Cyanobacteriota
Description: bacterial SSU rRNA
Rfam family: Bacterial small subunit ribosomal RNA
Source: RNAcentral
AGAGUUUGAUCAUGGCUCAGGAUGAACGCUGGCGGUAUGCUUAACACAUGCAAGUCGAACGAAAUCUUCGGAUUUAGUGGCGGACGGGUGAGUAACGCGUGAGAAUCUACUCUUAGAUUGGGGACAACAGUUGGAAACGACUGCUAAUACCGAAUGUGCCGAAAGGUAAAAGAUUUAUCGUCUGAGAAUGAGCUCGCGUUGGAUUAGCUAGUUGGAGUGGUAAUGGCACACCAAGGCGACGAUCCAUAACUGGUCUGAGAGGACGAUCAGCCACACUGGGACUGAGACACGGCCCAGACUCCUACGGGAGGCAGCAGUGGGGAAUUUUCCGCAAUGGGCGAAAGCCUGACGGAGCAAGACCGCGUGGGGGAAGAAGGCUCUUGGGUCGUAAACUCCUUUUCUCUGGGAAGAACAAAAUGACGGUACCAGAGAAUCAGCUCGAUCCCCCG